GUGCCAGCCGCCGCGGUAAUACCGGCAGCCCGAGUGAUGACCGAUCUUAUUGGGCCUAAAGCGUCCGUAGCUGGCUGCGCAAGUCCGUCGGGAAAUCCACUCGCCCAACGAGUGGGCGUCCGACGGAAACUGCACAGCUUGGGACCGGAAGGCUCGAGAGGUAUGUCCGGGGUAGGAGUGAAAUCCCGUAAUCCCGAACGGACCACCGAUGGCGAAAGCAUCUCGAGAAAACGGAUCCGACAGUGAGGGACGAAAGCCAGGGUCUCCAACCGGAUUAGAUACCCUAGUAGUCC
This 293-nucleotide ribosomal RNA is filed under the name uncultured bacterium. Its description in RNAcentral is "partial 16S ribosomal RNA". It matches the Rfam family "Archaeal small subunit ribosomal RNA", at positions 455 to 747 of the family's 1478-position model. The record is from RNAcentral.